AGCCUACGGGACGCAGCAGUGAGGAAUAUUGGUCAAUGGGCGAGAGCCUGAACCAGCCAAGUCGCGUGAAGGAUGACGGCCCUACGGGUUGUAAACUUCUUUUGUCAGGGAGCAAUUGAGUCCACGUGUGGGCUUAGCGAGAGAACCUGAAGAAAAAGCAUCGGCUAACUCCGUGCCAGCAGCCGCGGUAAUACGGAGGAUGCGAGCGUUAUCCGGAUUUAUUGGGUUUAAUGGGUGCGUAGGCGGACUAUAAAGUCAGCGGUAAAAAUUCGGGGCUCAACCCCGUCGUGCCGUUGAAACUGAAG
This 305-nucleotide ribosomal RNA is filed under the name uncultured bacterium. RNAcentral's name for it is "bacterial SSU rRNA". It matches the Rfam family "Bacterial small subunit ribosomal RNA", at positions 335 to 638 of the family's 1533-position model. The record is from RNAcentral.